Long non-coding RNA from Sarcophilus harrisii (Tasmanian devil), 934 nucleotides. RefSeq lists it as uncharacterized. Lineage: Eukaryota; Metazoa; Chordata; Mammalia; Dasyuromorphia; Dasyuridae. The record is from RefSeq and is a predicted model, not a curated record. The transcript has 4 exons.
GGAAACGGUUACAAUGUUUUUUAAUAAGCGUUCCCCAUCAGUCUCUCUGGGCUGUGGGCACAGAAAGGGGGCCCCACGCGUGGGGGAGGGGUAGGAGGAGAGGGGUAAGCUGGGGGACCAGGAGGGAAGAAGAGGGGGUCCAUCUGUGGCUCGAGGCACCCGUGGUUGGGGGGUGGUGUUGGUGGAGGACGUGAAAAAAAAAAAAAAAACGAGUGAGAGACAAGGUUGGGGAGAAAGCUCGUUGGGGUCAUGUGAGUGAGAGGAGACCGGGAAGCAAGCUCCUUGAGCUAACACGGUUGCCAUGGCAACGUGGCAGCGAGGAACAGGAAGCAGCAGAAAAUAGAAUCGCAUUCUGCUGAGGCCUGCACGAGCCAGGGCCCCCUCCCAGCCCGCAGGAGACGGUUACCAGGGAGACCUCGGUGAAAGGGAGGCUGCGGCGCGCGGCCCCGUCCCUCUCUUCUGCCUCCUGCCUCCCUCCUCCUGCCCCGGCCUCGCGGGCGGCUCGUUAGAGCCUGCGGCUCGCGGGCACCUUCUCAGGGAGCAGGAUGCGGGGUGGAGAUACAGAACUUGGAAAGGACCUUAAAUGUCACCCAGAUGAGGUGUAACUGAGACCCAGAGAGAUUAAGUGAACUGGCUAGCUUUCCUACUGAUGCACAGCAGGGCAAGAGCCUCGGGGUCCAGGAGAAAGGAAAUGUCAGCUUUGGCCAUUGACUGGUUUGGUUCCCAGUUCUCCAGAAAAUCGAAUGGAGGUAGGGAGCACUCUGUUCCUAAAGAGAAAGCUGUUAUGGUGAUCUUGAAGCUUCAGUAUGAAAAAAGGAGAAGAAAGAAGAUGUCAUUUUUAUGCAUAGGGAGUCAAGAUAAAUCACACCUGGGGUCCAACCCUUGCAAAAUUUGUACACAAGUUAAGAAAUUAAAGAAGGGUUUCUUAAGCUUU